Molecule: long non-coding RNA, 450 nt
Filed under: Spirodela polyrhiza (greater duckweed)
Lineage: Eukaryota; Viridiplantae; Streptophyta; Magnoliopsida; Alismatales; Araceae
Description: long non-coding RNA (SPOL_LNC002233)
Source: RNAcentral
GAAGGAGCUCGCCGGAGGUUGCGCAUCUCAUUCGCAUUCGGCCGUGGGUGGAGUCGCCGAUUUGAGGGCAGAUCGCCGCUCCAGUUCACGCUACAGUCAGAACUGCGACUCACGGUGACCCGUCGCCGACGCCGAGAAACUCCCUCGCCGCUUGCGCCCUGUAAAGGGAGGAAGAGGAGAGGUACUGCCACGAUUAUCAAUCCGGAGCAUUUGAUUUGAUUCAGCAUGCGGCUGAAGUCAGAUUACCGGCAGGUAACCUCGAUGCAUUCCCUGUCGAGAAGACCGACCGCACGGCCUCCGCUUUCUCCCAGGCUGCGCUCCGAGACGACAGGAAGCCGGCUCACUCCAUGAAGGUCCAUUAUUUUUUCAGCAGACAGGAGAUUCAUGCUGGGCGUCACCGCCUGCACCAGGCACCGGCGGCUUUCCGAGUAGCAGAAGUCGGACACCAAG